UUCGCAGGUAUAUUUCUUCUGCUACAGCCUAUUGGUGAUCCCACGAAAGGACAACUACACUGCAUAUACAGUAAAUAUUCAUAAAACAGAAACUACACUUUUGACAUACACUCCAGUUCACACUGAGAACGUCUAAUUGCUGCAAUGCAACUGACAGGACUUGUUCACAAAAUUAUAUAAGCAACGUACUGGAAAAAGCAAAACACAAGACAGAUUCUGAAUAGCCGCUACCACUGAAUUUCUAUUAAAUAGUCAACUGUUAGUACAAUCUCAAAAAUUUCUAAGCCUAACAAGCUUCAGUUUUGUCCAAAUGGUGAGCUAUAUGUUAUUCCUAAAUCAAUGUAACCUUUGCUUCACCCGCCUUCCAUUCACAUCACCAUCCAAGCUUUCAAUUUCAUGGCCACAACAGAUGGCAGAACGCUCACCAAUUCUAGCCACAUAUUGUAGAAGUUCUGUGAUGACAGAAGGACAACUUUCCUUUAAAUAUUCAAAUCCAUCUGUCUGCAUCACAGCUUUCAA
Molecule: unclassified non-coding RNA, 519 nt
Filed under: Hevea brasiliensis (rubber tree)
Lineage: Eukaryota; Viridiplantae; Streptophyta; Magnoliopsida; Malpighiales; Euphorbiaceae
Source: RNAcentral